GCCGGAUUCGUAUAAUGGCAUUACGCUUUCUUCGUACGGAAGAUACAUCGGUUCGAUUCCGUUAUCCGGCUC
Molecule: transfer RNA, 72 nt
Filed under: Streptomyces phage BillNye
Lineage: Duplodnaviria; Heunggongvirae; Uroviricota; Caudoviricetes; Stanwilliamsviridae
Description: tRNA-Thr
Rfam family: tRNA
About the family: Transfer RNA (tRNA) molecules are approximately 80 nucleotides in length.
Source: RNAcentral